Molecule: RNA transcript, 2618 nt
Organism: Delphinapterus leucas (beluga whale)
Lineage: Eukaryota; Metazoa; Chordata; Mammalia; Artiodactyla; Monodontidae
Gene: PUS10
Gene name: pseudouridine synthase 10
Source: RefSeq, a predicted model, not a curated record
CUCUGAGGGCUGGAAGGGGUUAAAUCUCUAGCUCCGGCGCCGUGGGAGAAGUUGUAGUUAUUUAAUAUGUUUCCACUGACUGUGGAAAACAAGCAUGUGGCCCAGUUGUUGCUCAGUACUGGUACCUGUCCAAGAUGUAUCUUCAGAUUCUGUGGUGUGGAUUUUCAUGCACCAUACAAACUUCCCUACAAGGAGUUGCUCAAUGAACUGCAAAAAUUUCUGGAAACUGAAAAAGAUGAAUUAAUUUCAGAAGUUCCAAACCCACCUCCCAAGAAAAUUCGACUACAAGAACUAGAAGAUGGGAUUGAUGGGAUGGAUAAUCUGAGUCAAAAUGGAGAGGGAAAGAUCUUGAUUAUUGAAGAUGGAAGCAUUGCUUCCAAGAACUCAAAUUUAAAUGUAUGCAAUGUAUGCCUAGGAAUUCUUCAAGAUUUCUGUGAAAAAGAGUUCAUUAAAAAGGUGUGCCAAAAGGUUGAGGCCUCUGGGUUUGAAUUCACCAACUUGGUAUUGUCAAUCUCCUUCCCACCACAGCUAUCUGUAAGAGAGCAUGCUGCAUGGUUGCUGGUAAAACAGGAAAUGGGAAAGCAGAGUCUGUCGCUGGAAAGAAAUGAUACAGUUCAGCUAAAAGAAGCCUACAAAUGGAUAACUCACCCCCUGUUUUCAGAGGAACUGGGUGUUCCCAUUGAUGGAAAGAGCUUGUUUGAAGUGAGUGUGGUCUUUGCUCACCCAGAAACAGUUGAGGAUUGCCACUUCCUACGUGCGAUAUGCCCAGAUUGUUUCAAGCCAGCCAAAAACAAACAGUCAGUAUUCACUAGAAUGGCAGUUAUGAAAGCUUUGAAUAAGAUUAAAGAAGAGGAUUUCCGCAAGCAGUUUCCUUGUCCUCCAAACUCACCAAAGGCUGUAUGCAGUGUUGUUGAAAUUGAAUGUGCUCAUGGUGCUGUUUUUGUGGCUGGGAGAUAUAAUAAAUACUCCAGGAAUCUACCACAAACUCCUUGGAUAAUUGAUGGAGAAAGGAAGCUGGACUCUUCAGUGGAAGAAUUAAUUUCAGACCAUCUUUUGACAGUGUUCAAAGCAGAGAGCUUUAAUUUUUCAUCCUCUGGGAGAGAAGAUGUAGAUGUGAGAACAUUAGGAAAUGGAAGGCCCUUUGCAAUUGAGCUGGUGAAUCCUCAUAGAGUACAUUUCACUUCACAAGAAAUUAAGGAACUUCAGCAGAAAAUUAAUAACUCGUCUAACAAAAUCCAAGUCCGUGACUUGCAGCUUGUCACAAGAGAGGCAAUAGGUCAUAUGAAAGAAGGUGAAGAAGAAAAGACCAAGACCUAUAGUGCCUUAAUAUGGACAAAUAAAGCAAUACAGAGGAAGGACAUUGAAUUCCUAGAUGACAUAAAGGACUUAAAGAUUGACCAGAAAACACCUUUACGGGUCCUUCACCGGAGGCCCCUGGCUGUGAGAACUCGCAUCAUUCACUCCAUGGAGACACACUAUGUGGAUGAGCACCAUUUCCGCCUCUACCUGAAGACUCAGGCAGGAACCUACAUUAAAGAGUUUGUACAUGGAGACUUUGGAAGAACGAAGCCGAACAUUUGCUCUCUGAUGGAUGUGACUGCAGACAUUCUUGAGCUGGAUGUUGAGUCUGUAGAUGUCGAUUGGCCCCCUGCUCUGGAUGACUAGCUUUCAAUGGGAAACAAAGAGUAGGGUUUUCCAGCAAAAUGUGGACGUCCAUUCAGCAUACACUGUUUCUUUUUGGCUUAGCUUUGAAUUUAGUGGAUCUGCAAAUGGAAGAAUUAAGAAUCUCCUUAGCAAACUUAAAUUAGAAGACUUGUUUCUUAAAUUUCUAUUCCUGGGAUUAUACAAAAUUUCAAGAGUAAGCAUUAGCUGCAAAUACUUAUUCCAAAUAUCCAUAUGAGACAUAGGUUGUUAAAAAUUAAUGUAGGUCUUUAUUUAAGCAGAACAGAAGACAUUAAGUCAUGAGAGUACUACAUAGUUUAACUUUUGCCUAUAUAAAAAUAUUUUUAAAUUACUUUUGUGAUCUUCUAUAGCUUAUUUAAAAAAAAAACAAAAAACAAGAAACACUUAAGAGAAAGGGCCCUUUGUACUUUUAGUAUCUUUUUGUCCCAAAUAUAGUCCGUGGUUUAGUUUAGGAAAAACACCGAGUACCUGGAAAAAUGGGGAAAAAAAAAUUUUGGUAAAAUGAAAAAUUUCCCAAGUAAGGUAACUGGUUUCAUUUACAAGUUAUAUGAAAUCAAUUUAGAAGUUAAAUUUCUGUUUCCAAAGAGAAAAAGGCAUCUUACUUAGAUCUUUUGGGGCUUUAUUCUUUGAUUUUUAAGUCCAUAUGAGAAUGAACUUUGAUGUAAGCUUUCCUGAGUUGAUUUUUUUAAAUGCUGCCCUUUAUUAUUAUAGGGAAAAUAAAUUUUUCAAUCCAAUUUUUUCAUUUUGAAAUAAUUUCAGACUUGCAAGAAAAGUACAAAGAAUGUUUUUCCCAGAAAUGUAUCACCCUGAAUGCAUUAGUAAUUCCUACAAACAAGGACAAAUUCCGACAAACAAGGACAUUCUUCUACUUCCUCACAAUGUAACUAUCAAAAUCAGAUUAACACUAACAUUACUAUUAUGUAAUCCACAGGACC